Molecule: non-coding RNA, 4238 nt
Organism: Anas platyrhynchos (mallard)
Lineage: Eukaryota; Metazoa; Chordata; Aves; Anseriformes; Anatidae
Source: RefSeq, a predicted model, not a curated record
AGAGACAGGAUUUCUGUAAGGUGCAAGAUCAUGCAGGCAGCUUGCCCUGACGUUGCCCAGGUACCACAGUGUGCAUGGAGCAGCGGAAGGCAGAGCUUUGCUCUCUGUAUCCUGCUCUCCAGGAGUUGCUGGCUGGGAACAUAUACUGUGAGGAGGACAUGUACUGUGUCUAACACACAAAGCCCUGCAGUGAAUCCCCACUGAGCUGGAGGUGCACAGAAAUGCUGGCGAUGCUUCCUGUUGUUAGAAAUAUGUUCAUCUUUAGAUGACCGCAACAACUGUGUUUGUAUUUAAAACACUGCCUUGCCCCAAAUAAUCCAAGUGCUGUAAACUGCCCUUGGAACAGAUGAGAUGAAAUUCUAUAGCAGUGCAGGUUUUAGAGUCUGUCUUUUGUGUGUGUGUGUAUGUAAACUUACUAGUGACCUUAUUGUGUGUGGUAGGUAGCCAGUAGCCACUUCAGUUAGCAUUCAGUGCUGUAAUUAACUAUAAAUAGCCUUGCCAAGAUCAAUAAUUCACAUAUUGAUCUUUUACAUUCAUUAUUUUCUAUAUCUGAAGAAUGCCUAGUGUGUAGAAUUAUCUAGCAAAUCGUUUGGAUGGCAUCCUGUGAGAUCACUGUCUACUUCCCAAAAGGUGAGGGAGGGAUACAUCAUGAUACAGCUGUUGGGGGAGUUGCUUGUCACCCCCUUUGUCCAUGGCUGACCAGACCCUGCAGCAGCAUGCUACCCUCACCACUAUUGAUUGUAGCUAGUGCUGUGCUCUCUUUGAGUACCCACUGAGCUGUAUAAAUCUCCAGGGCUGACCUAUGCUGUUCUCUGCUUAAAGGCUUUGGCUAUGACCAGAUAUGUCUUUCUGAGAGCUUUGUUUGCUGGUCAGUGUGGGAGAUGUGGAGGUGCAGGGUAACAGCAUCUGCCACCCUGAGUGCAUGAAUGUUUGGAUGAAGGACAAAAGGCAGGUGGCAAAUUAGGACAUGAACUUCUCUCUGCGGCACCCACAGCCAGUUCCCUGUGUGGCCAAGAGACACAGCCAAUCACUGGGAUUUGGUACCUCCCCCUCAUCCUCUCUUGCACCCACCCACAGUCUGUCUGUCCCUUCUGCACACCCUUUCUAACAUCCUCAGUGACAUUAAGUGUAGAAACAUCAAAACAUGCUGUUGAAAGUCCUGUGAGGAAGACCCACAGUGACAGAGCUGGAGCAGGAUGGGGGGUGGUGUGUGGUGCAUCUGGCUCCAGGCUGCUCCAGCACCAGGACCCCAGCUACAGACCUGGGCCAUCUAAAGGCACCCCUACCAGAUCUGAAUUUUAUCUUUCUCAUUUCUUGCUUGAUGAAGGAAAGCAGCUUCCACACUGAUGUUGCCAUGCCAGCUAAUGCUGUGCACAUUCACCAGCUAAGGACAUGGCUGUCUUCUGCUCAUUCCUCAGCACCAGGAAAACCAAUCUCCCCAGGACCCUUCCUUCUUCAAGCUCAAACCAGGAAACUAGUGGUUAAGAAAAAAUAAAUAUGAAACUCGGAAAUAUGUUAAGUGAAAGAAAAAACAGCUGAAGAGCAGCUAAACUCCAACUGCAGCAAGUCUGUAUUCCUUGUCCCAACUUCCUUCCAAACACCUUUGGAAAUAUGCCUAUUUCAUGCAAGCCGGAUUUGUAUUUCAGGGAAUGCAUGUGCACUACUACUACGCUAUAAAUAAGUCUGUUGUAACAGGUCCACAGGCUGAGCUCAUCCAACUCCUCUGAACCCUCCUACCCGUGCUUCUUUGGAUAUGCCUUUGGAUUUGCACUGACAAAUUCAACGAGGAGCCUGACCAAAGCAAAACUCAUCUGCCCUAUGUCUCAAAAACAGAACAUUGAGGCACUGCAGCCCUCCACAUUGCACCAUCUGGACUGCAGACGCUGAUUCACUUUGUUGGAAGUAAGAGAUACUCUUGCUGUUACAGGCAGAACCCUCUUGGUCUUCUCUGAGUGCAUCUGUCAGCUGACAUUUCUGCUCCUGUAUUCCUCUCUGGUGGAACUUCAUACUCCAUCUAGUAAAACCGACUUCCUGCUUGGCACAACUGUGAUUUUCUAACUGUGGUAUUGUAAUAGGCGCAGUGGGGCUCUGCACCUGAAAGUCUUCCUUUCCUAGAGAAUUUCAAAAGUGUGGAGAGUGAUUUAAAAACACCUGAAUCACAGUCAAAACAAAGUUCAUAGUUAUACUUCUCUCACCUAAACCUUCAUCUUUCCACACAUGAAAGUCUCAUAAGAGAGUCAGACCUGCUAGCUCAGAGGUCAGAAACAGUGCUCUGCUCUGCAGUGUUUUCUCCUUUCCCAUUGUGCAUCCUCAGGGACUACUGAUUGCUCUGGUAUUUAUUCCCAACUUGGUAAUGUAUUUUAUCCUUUCCUGUUCCUUUGCUCUCUGUUAGACUGUUGAUUUUUCUUAGUUAAAGUUUGGUGCCAAAACUUAAUUCAGAUAUUUAUGUGAAGGUUUUCAGUAUCGUCAUGUUCCAGGUAUUCAGCAUUUGGGCAGGCUGACAGACACUGUGAGCUGGUGUCUGUCAGGCACCCAGGCUAGACACUGCCUUGCGUCAUGCCUUCAAGGAAUUUGAAAGAGCAUGAACAUCAGCACUUCCUCAGUUCCCAGACUAUAUGGAUUUUCUUCUUCCCCAGGAGAUGGUGGGCAAUGCCGAUCUCUUCACUUAUGCUGAGUACUGAAUGAAAAGCAUUUCAUCAACAUUAGGUUGACCGACUUUUCUCUGCAUCAUUGUACUACACAGCAGACGGUAUUUGGUACUGAAGCAUUAAGGAUCCCCAGCAGCUUAUUUAUGAGGCAAACCACAUAUACAGUUUCAAUACAUUUGUAUCUCCAAAUUUGCUGUCAUAAGGUAACUGGAAAGCUUCACAGACAUGAAAAUUUGUCAAGUAAGUGACUGAACUUCUUCAUAAGCCAAUAAUACAGAAUUAUAUGGCACUAAAAGUUUUCCAGUAUCCUUUUGUCAUCCCUAACUCAUGAACAACAAAUACUUUUGUCACAAAGUAACACAUUUCUGUUAAGGUCCUUAAUAGGAUGCCAUAAAAGAUCUCUCUUCCUACCCCUAAGUAAUAGCCAUAGUAUCAGACAAAUAUUAAGGCUUGCUUAUUAAUUCAGGGCCUGGAUCUAGUGUAUGCCUGUGCAUGAGCUACUGGUAAAAGGUCAUGUUCUUAUUUCAAGUUGUUUUGAGGCUGUUCAGUGAUUUAAGGAUGGCUUUUAGUAUUUUUAAAUGAAUAAAUAAUAAAUACAUGUGUGACAAAAAUUUAGGCUCCAAAAUAGAUGACUCCUGUAUGUUAGAGAAGUGGGGUUCUACAACAAUCUUCCAAUCAGAUUGGGGACAAAAAUAGGAAUGUUAGCAUGGAGGUUCCUCAUCUGAUGAAAGGGAUUGUGUGAUGUGGUUGCUUGUGAUAUCCUGGGACUCAAGAGAUCCCUUCUAAUCUUAUGCUAAGUGAACAGUAAAAGGAAAAAAUGCCUUUGACUGCUAUUAACCAUCAUAGCUAGAACCUUAUUCAGGAGUUUCUUUUAUUCAGAAAGAUGUGGGGAUAGGCUUUGAAAUGUCAAUGUAAAAAAUCCAGGUUUCAUGUAACACAACCCAAAGUGCAGGAGCCUAGUCACAUCUGGGGAGAAUUGUCCUGGAAGAGGUGAACAAAACACAAAUACACUUGGUUUCCUUGAGGAACUCCUUGGCACACAGGUGAACAAAGUUCCGAGGGUCUGUGCCAGGGCUUUUAGGCAAAAAUAAGUGGCCUUGCAGUCACAGAUCUGAGGGAAGUCUGUGCCUGGGAGCAGAGGGAGAAGCAGCACAGGUGGUAUGGUUAAGUUGCUCAGCCUUCAGCCCCUGUCUCCCCACCAGAACCUCGGGAAGCUGACUGCAAGCAGAGCAGGAGAGCCCAGGAGGCCCCCAUGCACACCACCAUUUGCCAGCCUAAUGGGGAUUUUCCUUAUAUGUGGUUUUUGACAGGACUCUUUUCCUCAUCUGUGUAUCAAUACUGACCAUUUGACAUUAAAUCUAUGAAAGCCUUAAGAGUGAAAUACAAGUGUUUCCUAGACCUUAUGGAAGUAGCGGUAGCACAGGGACUGCCUCUUCCAUCCAUCCUAACAUCAGUAUUAUACAAAUAAGCAUUGGCAUGGUGUAUUUUUAAACAAUAUUGAAAAGUUUCAGAACUUUUGAUGACUUAAGUAGUCAGUUGUUAUUUCAAGUUCUACAGAAAAAAUAAACUUCUUGGUCUUUGAAAUUAUUU